GUAAAUCGUUCUAUCGCUCCAAGCAAUUGGGGAGGAAAGUCCGGACACCACAGAGCAUCGUAGCGGGUAAUGCCCGUCCACCGUGAGGUGAGGACAAGUGCAACAGAAAGAAUGUACAGUUUUAUUGACAGAUAGUGCCACAGAAAGGGAAACUACCUCGAAGCAACGUGUUGUUUUGAGGAAAAGGUGAAAAGGUGUGGUAAAAGCGCACCAGUAUCAAAAGAGAUUUUGGUAGCUUGGUAAACCUUAUGGGGUGCAAGGCCAUGUAAACCGAGGCUUGAGGGCUGCUCGCCUGAUCUCGGAGGGUAGGCUGCAUAGAUAAAUGAUAGAUUAAAACAGAAUCCGGCUUAUUAAGGUUUACAAAA
This 365-nucleotide RNase P RNA is filed under the name Flavobacteriales bacterium. RNAcentral describes it as "RNase P RNA component class A". It matches the Rfam family "Bacterial RNase P class A". From Rfam's summary of the family: Ribonuclease P (RNase P) is a ubiquitous endoribonuclease, found in archaea, bacteria and eukarya as well as chloroplasts and mitochondria. Its best characterised activity is the generation of mature 5'-ends of tRNAs by cleaving the 5'-leader elements of precursor-tRNAs. Cellular RNase Ps are ribonucleoproteins. The record is from RNAcentral. Lineage: Bacteria; Pseudomonadati; Bacteroidota; Flavobacteriia; Flavobacteriales.